AUUGAACGCUGGCGGCAUGCUUUACACAUGCAAGUCGAACGGCAGCGCGGGCUUCGGCCUGGCGGCGAGUGGCGAACGGGUGAGUAAUGCAUUGGAACGUGCCCAGUAGUGGGGGAUAGCCCGGCGAAAGCCGGAUUAAUACCGCAUACGACCUGAGGGUGAAAGCGGGGGACCGAAAGGCCUCGCGCUAUUGGAGCGGCCGAUGUCGGAUUAGCUAGUUGGUGGGGUAAAGGCUUACCAAGGCGACGAUCCGUAGCUGGUCUGAGAGGACGACCAGCCACACUGGGACUGAGACACGGCCCAGACUCCUACGGGAGGCAGCAGUGGGGAAUUUUGGACAAUGGGGGCAACCCUGAUCCAGCCAUGCCGCGUGCGGGAAGAAGGCCUUCGGGUUGUAAACCGCUUUUGUUCGGGAAGAAAUCCUCUGGGCUAAUACCCCGGGGGGAUGACGGUACCGGAAGAAUAAGCACCGGCUAUCUACGUG
Molecule: ribosomal RNA, 484 nt
Filed under: uncultured bacterium
Lineage: Bacteria
Description: partial 16S ribosomal RNA
Rfam family: Bacterial small subunit ribosomal RNA
Source: RNAcentral